RNAcentral lists this unclassified non-coding RNA (452 nucleotides) under Hevea brasiliensis (rubber tree). The record is from RNAcentral. Lineage: Eukaryota; Viridiplantae; Streptophyta; Magnoliopsida; Malpighiales; Euphorbiaceae.
GAGAGAGAGAGAGAGGUGUUGGAUCAACCAAUUAAUGCUCUGAAGUUCAUCAUUUGAAUGUUGAUUGGUUAAUUGACGGAAAGUAGAAACCUAGAAAUUAAUAUGCUCUUAUUUGUCCCUGUUUAAUUUGGUAUAAUGCUAUUUAGUGGGUCAUGAUAAUUUCACUUUCAGCAGUCUCUCUAAUCCAAUAUGAAGACAAGAAGCAACGCCACAAGGGUUACAAACACGAGAAAACAACCAAAACGUCAAAAUAUUCGACAAUGGUUAAGUAAUUCACCUAGUAAUGUUGUUGUCCUUUGUAAAUGCCGACUCUUUCUUAAUUCCAUUGCAGCUAUCCUGAGCGUUUUGGAUUCAUAUAUACCAGAAGUUUCUCUCAAUCUGUCUUCUGCCAACUUCGAUUCAACGUCCCAAAUAACGAACUAAAUAAGUACCUUUCUUUUUGAGAAAAAAAA